CUAGCUGUAAACGAUGGAUACUAGGCGUUGAGAGUAUCGACCCUCUCAGUGUCGUAGCUAACGCGUUAAGUAUCCCGCCUGGGGAGUACGUGCGCAAGCGUGAAACUCAAAGGAAUUGACGGGGGCCCGCACAAGCGGUGGAGUAUGUGGUUUAAUUCGAUGCAACGCGAAGAACCUUACCAGGGCUUGACAUGUCCGGAACCCUGCCCAAAGGCGGGGGUGCCUACGGGAACCGGAACACAGGUGGUGC
This 250-nucleotide ribosomal RNA is filed under the name uncultured Chroococcidiopsis sp. RNAcentral describes it as "partial 16S ribosomal RNA". It matches the Rfam family "Bacterial small subunit ribosomal RNA", at positions 796 to 1044 of the family's 1533-position model. The record is from RNAcentral. Lineage: Bacteria; Bacillati; Cyanobacteriota; Cyanophyceae; Chroococcidiopsidales; Chroococcidiopsidaceae.